GUUUAAAUAAUUUAAUAAAAAUGUUGAUUUGUGAAUUCAAAAAUAUGGUAAUUUCAUUUUAAGCA
This 65-nucleotide transfer RNA is filed under the name Pselaphinae sp. 7 EF-2015. RNAcentral's name for it is "tRNA-His". Lineage: Eukaryota; Metazoa; Arthropoda; Insecta; Coleoptera; Staphylinidae. The record is from RNAcentral.